Chelonoidis abingdonii (Abingdon island giant tortoise) is the source of this 104-nucleotide non-coding RNA. The record is from RefSeq and is a predicted model, not a curated record. NCBI's taxonomy places the organism in Eukaryota, Metazoa, Chordata, Testudines, Testudinidae.
CAGUGGGGGAGUGAAAGGGCUUGAGAGUACCCUACAGGGAAGAAUUCCCAAGUGCUCCUUCUUGUGUCCAAGGGGUUUGUUUGAUUUGGGUGGUGGCAGCGUUU